CACGUAGGGGGCAAGCGUUGUCCGGAUUCAUUGGGCGUAAAGAGCUCGUAGGCGGUUCGAUAAGUCGGGUGUGAAACCUCCAGGCUCAACCUGGAGACGCCACCCGAUACUGUCGUGACUAGAGUCCAGUAGGGGAGCGUGGAAUUCCUGGUGUAGCGGUGAAAUGCGUAGAGAUCCGGAGGAACACCAGAGGCGAAGGCGGCCUACUGGGCUGCACCUGACGCUGAGCCGCGAAAGCCAGGGGAGCGAACGGG
This 254-nucleotide ribosomal RNA is filed under the name uncultured bacterium. Its description in RNAcentral is "partial 16S ribosomal RNA". It matches the Rfam family "Bacterial small subunit ribosomal RNA", at positions 524 to 776 of the family's 1533-position model. The record is from RNAcentral.